RNAcentral lists this small RNA (2433 nucleotides) under Pan troglodytes (chimpanzee). Its description in RNAcentral is "retained intron". Lineage: Eukaryota; Metazoa; Chordata; Mammalia; Primates; Hominidae. The record is from RNAcentral.
CUCAAGGCCCUCUCGGGCCACCAUGCUUUUGCAUAUGCUGUCCCUGGUCCCGGAAGCACCCUCUGCCAGCCUGCCCCCAGCACACGCCUAAUCGCCCUUCCAUGCUCUGCCAAAGUGUCGCUCCUCUGGGAGUCCUCCCUGCCCAGAAUAUUGUUGGAUGCUCCCCCCAUGCCCCCACGGAGUCUGUACGUAUCUGUGCCAUGCCAGUUCACAGCACCCCAUUGUAACUGUUUGCGUGUCUGUCCCUGUCACUCCACCCCCAUCUCCCUAUGCCCAUUAGGCCCCAGAGGGCUGGGACUGUGGGUUGUUCAUUUGCACAGUGCCUGGCACUCACUAGGGACUCGAAGAAUGAAUGAAUGUGGAAUGUGGUUUACACAGCCAGGGAGAAUGGGAUACCAGCCAGGGCAAGAACAGUCUACUGGGUGGGGCAGGAUCCAGGACAAGGAGGUGAGCAGCCCUUCCUCUGGCCACUCAAGUAGUGGGAACUGGGAGGAGGGGCGCUUUGUCUAUGCAGUCUUCUUAUGGCUCAUCACCAUACCAGGACAGGGGCACCCUGCCCCCCUGGCCCACGGCUGGACUUCAGAGACUGGCUCGGAGCCCCCAGGGAACAUUUGCAGGGCCAGCCCCCAACUUUGGGCCCCUUGGGCCUGGCCGCUGGCCCCUGGCCUUCCUGGGUGAAAUAUGGCACUGGAAGUAAUGCUCUUGGCUGUGGGAGCUACAGAAAGCAAUGAGGUCUCUAUCAAACCCAGCCUCCUCUCUCUCGAGAGGAACCAGUGGGGAUACCCUACCCCUCAGCCCCAAAGCCCUGUGCACCUGAGGGUAAAAAUCUGGGUGCCACGGGCUCAGGAAGGCUUGCUUGGGAGCAAGAGGGAGGUGGAUGUGUCUGGGGAGGCAUUUCUGAGCACAAGAGCCUCCCUGGAGUUCUGCCAUCGUCUCUCCCCAUUCUGUGGUGCCCGCAAUAACCACCGUUCUGACUCUCCUCACCCCUCCAGCCUCCCAGCGUGCGGCCUGCCAACCCCGCUCCCAUUGUAAGUCUCUUGCUUUCUUUUUGGAUCCUCUUGAUUUUGGCUCUUCUUCUGGGCUAAUGGAGGAUGCAGGGCCAGGCAUUGGGCCUCUCCCAUCGGGAGUGGGGAGGGCAGAGGCCAGGCCCUUGACCAUCUACCCGGCCUGGCGAGGUUGGUGGGUGAAUGUGGUUGGCUGGCCGUGAUGGAACAACCUGAGUUGCCACUCCAUGGGCAGCCACGGAAGACCAUGCCCCACAUUCACUUCUCUCACCUGCAAAGGGAGGCUAGGCUGAGAGACGUUUCCCCGAGAGGAAAGACGGGCCAGAGCCACCAGCGUCCCCAUCUGUCUUCUCCAGGGUUCUAACCUUUGCCCCUCCCUCAUCCCCUGGACCCACCCUCCGUGGGGUCUGUGGGGCCACUGGGCUGGUUAUGCCCCUGGAGGGUGCCUGCCGUGUGGCACCCUCUGGUGGGAGCUGGGGUGGUCUUUACUCAGGAGAGCCUGGGUGAGACCUGGUUUCUUUCUUCCAGACCCAGACAGUCAUCCACACGGUGCAGAGUGCCUCUGGACAGAUGUUCUCUACUCCCGCCAUCCUACCUAUGAUGUACCCCCACCCUGCCUAUCCGAUGCCUUUCAUCACCACCAUUCCGGGAGGGCUGUACCCAUCCAAGUCCAUCAUCCUGUCAGGCACUGUCCUGCCCAGUGCUCAGAGGUAAGCCAAAGGCUCCAGUGACCUCUGGGAAGAGAGAGCCCUUCAAGGUCAUUCCAGCCAUUCCCCUGGCUUUUGGCAGGCUGGGGAUGAUGCGGAGGAAAUGGGGCUCAGAACUCAGUGGACAAAGAUCCAAGUAGGCUGCCCACCCCAGGUUCCACAUCAACCUGUGCUCUGGGAGCCACAUCGCCUUCCACAUGAACCCCCGUUUUGAUGAGAAUGCUGUGGUCCGUAACACCCAGAUCAACAACUCUUGGGGGUCUGAGGAGCGAAGUCUGCCCCGAAAAAUGCCCUUCGUCCGAGGCCAGAGCUUCUCGGUGUGGAUCUUGUGUGAAGCUCACUGCCUCAAGGUGGCCGUGGAUGGUCAGCACGUGUUUGAAUACUACCAUCGCCUGAGGAACCUGCCCACCAUCAACAAACUGGAAGUGGGUGGCGACAUCCAGCUGACCCACGUGCAGACAUAGGCGGCUCCCUGGCCCUGGGGCCGGGGGCUGGGGUGUGGGGCAGUCUGGGUCCUCUCAUCAUCCCCACUUCCCAGGCCCAGCCUUUCCAACCGUGCCUGGGAUCUGGGCUUUAAUGCAGAGGCCAUGUCCUUUUCUGGUCCUGCUUCUGGCUACAGCCACCCUGGAAUCGAGAAGGCAGCUGACUGGGAUUGCCUUCCUCAGCCGCAGCAGCACCUGGGGCGCCAGCUGCUGGAAUCCUACAAUCCCAGAAGGCGGGCA